UUUCCGUAGGUGAACCUGCGGAAGGAUCAUUCAUAAUAAAGUGUUUUAUGGCACUUCUUAAAAAUCCAUAUCCACCUUGUGUGCAAUGUUAGAUCUCGUCAAUCUUGGCGAGAUUUUUAUACAUCAACUCAUUCUUUAACUAAUUUGUCUGAAAAAUAUUAUGAAUACUUAAUUCAAAAUACAACUUUCAACAACGGAUCUCUUGGCUCUCGCAUCGAUGAAGAACGCC
RNAcentral lists this unclassified non-coding RNA (229 nucleotides) under plant metagenome. RNAcentral's name for it is "partial contains small subunit ribosomal RNA, internal transcribed spacer 1, and 5.8S ribosomal RNA". The stretch from base 183 to 229 matches the Rfam family "5.8S ribosomal RNA", at positions 1 to 47 of the family's 154-position model. The record is from RNAcentral.